This 1923-nucleotide long non-coding RNA is filed under the name Sus scrofa (pig). RNAcentral describes it as "lncRNA (ENSSSCG00030043781.1)". Lineage: Eukaryota; Metazoa; Chordata; Mammalia; Artiodactyla; Suidae. The record is from RNAcentral.
AGAGUUGCCCUAUAGCUUCUUCACUCCAUGUAGACAUAAACCAAAAUACUGCAAAGCUCUUCUAAAUAGAUCAUUCAACAAUUUCUUCUAAAACUCUACCCUCUCUCUUUACAUGUAGUGGAAGUAGUGGUGAAGUUGAACAUUUCUAUUAAGUUAGACUAAAAAACAACCCACUAUUACCAUCUCUUCCAGAUUAGGGAACAAUGUUAAUAAUAACCAUCAGUUAUUACUAUAAGAAUCACAUACCAUUUAGGCCUCAGGAAGAAGACAGUGUCUAGAUUGGAACCAAAUAAAGACAAAGAUGAUCUCUUUUACUCAAGAGUUGUCAGAAAUGACCUGAAUUAUUUGAGAGCUCAGAAUGUUCUGAUAUAUUAAAAAUAAUGCUCUGCCACAUCCAUAAACCCAAUUCAAACACACGGUUAAAUAUAGCAUAUACAUGUUAUUGUCUAAAAUAUCAAAUAUCUUAAUAUAUCUUUUAGGGGCGAGUGCCUUUUGGAUAAUAUACAUUUUACAUCUCUAUGAAGAGUUGGGAAGGACAGAUGUCACAUGAAGGAUGGAAUUACUACAUUUUGUUCACAAAUAUAGUGAGUAGUUUAUACUAUAUGCAAUAUUGAUUUUAUCUUAGCUAUCAAAUAUUACCCCAAAUAAAUCUGAGUUGCACACCAUAUUGAAAGUGGCAGUGGACAGUCUUUCCUAUGUAACACCUAGUCAUCCCAUUUCAAUUUCUAAAUUUAUAAUGAUUCAUUUUAGUUACAUUUCUUAGAGCUCUCUCUCAAUGAUCUGUGCAAUUUAGAAUUUAGAAUUCCAUCCCCACUCAGUAUUGAAAAAGAAGGCCAGAUGGGAUAGAACCUGCAACCUCAUGGUUCCUAGUCGGAUUUGUUAACCACUGAGCCAUGAGGGGAAAGCCAAAAGUACAUUUUUAAAUGGAUAUUAGAACAAGAAAGGACUUUACUAAGUCAAGGGACAUUGGCUGAACAGAACUAGACUGAAUAUACCUGCUUCAUGACUUGAAAUGCAUCUUUUUCCUUAAAUGAUGUGUUCCUUAAAGGAAGAUCCAAAUCUUACCCACUGUUGAAUUCCCAGCUCUUAGUAGAUUCAAUUAACGUUUUUUAAAUUGAAUUUUGAAGUAGUAUUUUUUUCUUUUGGCUACUUUAUAACUAAAGUUUACAAAUAUUCAGAAGAGUGUAAGAUAUGUAAAAUGGGUCUCUGUAAUUCACAUGCACAUAGAGAGGGAUGGUGGGUGCUUAUUUGUCUUAUGUACCUGUUUGUAUCAAGAGGAAUACAGAAUUUUAUAACAAGUGGUUUAACAAAAUUUAUACAAUUGAAAUAGCAAGAGGUUAUUUUUGAGUUAUGUUAAUUACACUGGCUAAUUAAUUGCCUGUGAUUUAAAAACAAAACAAAACAAAACAAACAAAGCAGGGUCUAACUAUGGAGAGAGAGAGAGAGAUUGAGAAAGAACAAGGAAGGGGGAGGGGAGGGGCAGGAGGAGAGAAAUGCAGUGACAGCUUUGAGAAAGGGCUUUAGGAAGCUGAUGAGGCUGGUCCCUCUUUUUUCCCUUGCUCCCUUAUUUCUAGCCAUCUCCUAUCUUUCUUGGAAAGCCACAUACCCGUUUACCAUCAGAGUGCCCUCCUGACACUGAUGUGUAUCAAAAGUAAUUAAAAGGGAGUUUCUGUAGUGGCUCAGUGGUUAACAAAUCUGACUAGCAUCCAUGAGGAUGCAGGUUCAAUCCCUGGCCUUGCUCAGUCGGUUAAAGAUCCAGCGUUGCCAUGAGUUGUGGUGUAGGUCGCAGACACGGCUCAGAUCCUGUGUUGCUUUGGCUAGGCCAGUAGCUACAGGUCCAAUUGAACCCCUAGCCUGGGAACUCCAUAUUGAUGCAGAGGGCGAGGGGCUCAAAAGCCAAAAAAAAAAAAAGAAAAAGAAAAA